This 305-nucleotide ribosomal RNA is filed under the name uncultured bacterium. RNAcentral describes it as "bacterial SSU rRNA". It matches the Rfam family "Bacterial small subunit ribosomal RNA", at positions 337 to 634 of the family's 1533-position model. The record is from RNAcentral.
GCCUACGGGGGGCAGCAGUGGGGAAUAUUGCGCAAUGGGCGAAAGCCUGACGCAGCGACGCCGCGUGAGGGAUGAAGGUCUUCGGAUCGUAAACCUCGGUCCGCAGGGAAGAACGGUCACUGUGCUAAUCAGCAGUGAAUUGACGGUACCUGCAAAGGAAGCACCGGCUAACUCCGUGCCAGCAGCCGCGGUAAUACGGAGGGUGCGAGCGUUAAUCGGAAUUACUGGGCGUAAAGCGCUCGUAGGCGGUAUGUCAAGUCAAGGGUGAAAUCCCCGCGCCCAACGUGGGAACUGCCUUUGAAACU